Molecule: transfer RNA, 72 nt
Filed under: Bacteroidales bacterium
Lineage: Bacteria; Pseudomonadati; Bacteroidota; Bacteroidia; Bacteroidales
Description: tRNA-Thr
Rfam family: tRNA
About the family: Transfer RNA (tRNA) molecules are approximately 80 nucleotides in length. Their secondary structure includes four short double-helical elements and three loops (D, anti-codon, and T loops).
Source: RNAcentral
GCCGGAGUAGCUCAGAGGUAGAGCGCAUCCUUGGUAAGGAUGAGGUCACGAGUUCAAUCCUCGUCUUCGGCU